This 365-nucleotide transfer-messenger RNA is filed under the name Burkholderiales. RNAcentral describes it as "Q3-R57-64 sp016699915 Standard tmRNA". It matches the Rfam family "transfer-messenger RNA". From Rfam's summary of the family: Bacterial tmRNA, also known as 10Sa RNA or SsrA, is named for its dual tRNA and mRNA-like properties. Its role is to liberate the mRNA from a stalled ribosome. RNAcentral also lists the same sequence under 1 other name. Lineage: Bacteria; Pseudomonadati; Pseudomonadota; Betaproteobacteria. The record is from RNAcentral.
GGGGGCGACCUUGGUUUCGACGGGGGUUGCAAAGCAGAUGGGUGCAUACCGGGAUUUCAGUUAUCCCGUAAAACACUGAAAAAUUAUAGUCGCAAACGACGAAAACUACGCUCUAGCCGCUUAAUCGCGCUAGACGCUACAACGAUAGGCUGGUGGAUCGGGUGGGUUACACCACUGUAGCGUCAUAUCACAUCAGCUCGCCUUUAAUCGGGUUACUUGAUUAAAGGUAAAACGCAAGGUAACUCGCUAACAUUAAGCCUGCCAAUUCGGCGUAAUGAAAGUUAAAAACAAAAGAAAUGGCUAAGUAUGUAGAACUCACUGUAGAGGACUUUCGGACGCGGGUUCAAUUCCCGCCGCCUCCACCA